AUAGGGACAACAUUUGAAAUGAAGCUAAACCUGAUAUAAAUGAUUUUAGGCAUCCUAGAUUUAUGAAAGCUAUAUGCUCUGUGAGAGAAGCUUUGCGUCCCAUUAGUAGUUGGAGAGGUAACGGCUCACCAAGGCGAUGAUGGGUAGCCGGCCUGAGAGGGUGAUCGGCCACAAGGGGACUGAGACACGGCCCUUACUCCUACGGGAGGCAGCAGUGGGGAAUAUUGGACAAUGGACCAAGAGUCUGAUCCAGCAAUUCUGUGUGCACGAUGAAGUUUUUCGGAAUGUAAAGUGCUUUCAGUUGGGAAGAAAAAAAUGACGGUACCAACAGAAGAAGUGACGGCUAAAUACGUGCCAGCAGCCGCGGUAAUACGUAUGUCACAAGCGUUAUCCGGAUUUAUUGGGCGUAAAGCGCGUCUAGGUGGUUAUGUAAGUCUGAUGUGAAAAUGCAGGGCUCAACUCUGUAUUGCGUUGGAAACUGUGUAACUAGAGUACUGGAGAGGUAAGCGGAACUACAAGUGUAGAGGUGAAAUUCGUAGAUAUUUGUAGGAAUGCCGAUGGGGAAGCCCGCUUACUGGACAGAUACUGACGCUGAAGCGUGAAAGCGUGGGUAGCAAACAGG
This 622-nucleotide ribosomal RNA is filed under the name uncultured Fusobacterium sp. RNAcentral describes it as "bacterial SSU rRNA". It matches the Rfam family "Bacterial small subunit ribosomal RNA", at positions 137 to 776 of the family's 1533-position model. The record is from RNAcentral. Lineage: Bacteria; Fusobacteriati; Fusobacteriota; Fusobacteriia; Fusobacteriales; Fusobacteriaceae.